GAUGAACGCUGGCGGCGUGCUUAACACAUGCAAGUCGAACGGAAAGGCUCCUGCUUGCAGGGGUACUCGAGUGGCGAACGGGUGAGUAACACGUGGGUGAUCUGCCCUGCACUUCGGGAUAAGCCUGGGAAACUGGGUCUAAUACCGGAUAGGACCAUGGUUUGGAUGCCAUUGUGGAAAGUUUUUCGGUGUGGGAUGAGCUCGCGGCCUAUCAGCUUGUUGGUGGGGUAAUGGCCUACCAAGGCGUCGACGGGUAGCCGGCCUGAGAGGGUGUACGGCCACAUUGGGACUGAGAUACGGCCCAGACUCCUACGGGAGGCAGCAGUGGGGAAUAUUGCACAAUGGGCGCAAGCCUGAUGCAGCGACGCCGCGUGGGGGAUGACGGCCUUCGGGUUGUAAACUGCUUUCGCUAGGGACGAAGCGCAAGUGACGGUACCUGGAGAAGAAGCACCGGCUAACUACGUG
Molecule: ribosomal RNA, 465 nt
Filed under: uncultured bacterium
Lineage: Bacteria
Description: partial 16S ribosomal RNA
Rfam family: Bacterial small subunit ribosomal RNA
Source: RNAcentral